This 171-nucleotide non-coding RNA is filed under the name Paraglaciecola arctica BSs20135. Lineage: Bacteria; Pseudomonadati; Pseudomonadota; Gammaproteobacteria; Alteromonadales; Alteromonadaceae. RNAcentral also lists the same sequence under 1 other name. The record is from RNAcentral.
UCGUCUUCAAAUUGCUCAGGUGCUCUUUUCAAUUGUAUUUUAUCAGUUGAAAAACAAGAGAUAAUCGGGAAGUUAGUGCAACACACUAGUGUUUAAUUCUAACGCUGCCCCCGCAACGGUAAUACUGAAUAUCAGUUAAGCCCGGAGACCGGCCUGUCAAUAUAUUACAAA